CACGAACUGCGCAAACGUUAUUCGGAAUCACUGGGCUUAAAGAGUCCGUAGGCGGCUCGGCAGGUGAGGUGUGAAAUCCCACGGCUCAACCGUGGAAUUGCGCUUAAAACCGCCGCGCUGGAGGGAGAUAGAGGAGAGCUGAACUGAUGGUGGAGCGGUGAAAUGCGUUGAUAUCAUCAUGAACACCGGUGGCGAAAGCGGCUCUCUGGGUCUCUUCUGACGCUGAGGGACGAAAGCUAGGGGAGCGAACGGG
RNAcentral lists this unclassified non-coding RNA (253 nucleotides) under uncultured Pirellulaceae bacterium. RNAcentral describes it as "contains 16S-23S intergenic spacer region". It matches the Rfam family "Bacterial small subunit ribosomal RNA", at positions 524 to 776 of the family's 1533-position model. Lineage: Bacteria; Pseudomonadati; Planctomycetota; Planctomycetia; Pirellulales; Pirellulaceae. The record is from RNAcentral.